Molecule: long non-coding RNA, 216 nt
Filed under: Vigna radiata
Lineage: Eukaryota; Viridiplantae; Streptophyta; Magnoliopsida; Fabales; Fabaceae
Description: long non-coding RNA (VRAD_LNC006817)
Source: RNAcentral
AAAAACCAAAAUAGAACCUAGAAACAAAAGGCUUAAGAAUGAAUUUAUUAUGAAAGCUAAAAUAGGGAACUAAAAUCUGAGAAAUGAAAGAAACCUACAAUUAUUUCUAUUUACCGUAACAACCUUAAAGAAUAUAACCUAAAACAUCCUAAAAAAUGCCUAACAGAUUUACCUAAGCUCUAUACAAUAUGAACAACUAAAACAGCAUAGUACACA